UCGGGAAACUGAGGAUAAUAUCCCAUAGUUGAAUAGGCUUGGAAAAGUUAUUCAAUCAAAAGGAUAAAAAAAAUGGUUUUUAUUCGCUAUAGGAUAGGAUCGUGCUCGAUUAUGGUUGUUGGCGAGGUAACGGCUCACCAAGCCGAUAAUCGAUAGGGGCCGUGAGAGCGGGAGCCCCGAGAUGGGUACUGAGACACCGACCCAGGCCUUACGAGGCGCAGCAGGCGCGAAACCUCCGCAAUACACGAAAGUGUGACGGGGUUACCCAAAGUGUUCAAUUAUGAACUGUGGUAGGUGAGUAAUGUCCCCUACUAGAAAGGAGAGGGCAAGGCUGGUGCCAGCCGCCGCGGUAAAACCAGCUCUUCAAGUGGUCGGGAUAAUUAUUGGGCUUAAAGUGUCCGUAGCCGGUUUAGUAAGUUCCUGGUAAAAUCGGGUAGCUUAACUAUCUGUAUGCUAGGAAUACUACCAUGCUAGAGGGCGGGAGAGGUCUGAGGUACUACAGGGGUAGGGGUGAAAUCUUAUAAUCCUUGUAGGACCACCAGUGGCGAAGGCGUCAGACUGGAACGCGCCUGACGGUGAGGGACGAAAGCCAGGGGAGCGAACCGGAUUAGAUACCCGGGUAGUCCUGGCCGUAAACGAUGCAUACUAGGUGAUGGUACGGCCAUGAGCCAUAUCAGUGCCGUAGGGAAACCGUUAAGU
This 699-nucleotide ribosomal RNA is filed under the name uncultured archaeon. RNAcentral describes it as "bacterial SSU rRNA". It matches the Rfam family "Archaeal small subunit ribosomal RNA", at positions 132 to 820 of the family's 1478-position model. The record is from RNAcentral.